GCCUACGGCGAUCCGCUGGCCGUAUUCGGCGCUGACCCACGGGGAUAUUUCCGACGGGUCAAUCCGCUCUCGAUAAUAAGUGUUCUUUGAAUGAAUUAUAAUUUUGUUGGUUAUUGUUAAUAAUUAAUAUUUGUAUUUUGUCAAUGAAUCGGCACUAUCGACAGACAUUUUCCUCGGAACAAUACAAUACACAAUACUCGGCCAAAUUAGCGUUUUUUACACAUGUUUUUUCAUGAUGCGUUUAUCCAUUCGUAUACUCCUAUAUCGGAUUCA
Molecule: non-coding RNA, 273 nt
Organism: Cinara cedri
Lineage: Eukaryota; Metazoa; Arthropoda; Insecta; Hemiptera; Aphididae
Source: the annotation of a GenBank genome assembly